Ipomoea nil (Japanese morning glory) is the source of this 275-nucleotide long non-coding RNA. RefSeq lists it as uncharacterized. The transcript is spliced from 3 exons. Lineage: Eukaryota; Viridiplantae; Streptophyta; Magnoliopsida; Solanales; Convolvulaceae. The record is from RefSeq and is a predicted model, not a curated record.
UGGGCGAGGAGUGAAGCAGUCGGAAGGAGACUUGACGUUUUGAUUCAGUAUACGAAGUUAGUGGGCGAGGAGUGAAGUAGUCGGAAGGAGACUUGACGUUUUGAUUCAGUAUACGGAGGUAGUGGGCGAGGAGUUAAGUGGUCGAAAGGAGACUUUGCGUUUUGUUAGUAUAUGGAGGUAGUGGUCAAGGAGCGAAGAGGUCGGAAAGAGACUUGGCGUUUUGAUUCAAUAUACAGAAGUAGUGGGGGAGGAAUCAAGUGGUCAGCAAGGAACUU